AACCACACUACACACACACGACUAACCAGCCUGAAUUGUAAUGUCACAGUACGAGUAGAGUAGACUGCUAUGUUUGAUGCUUUCCCAAGUUCUUUCACAGGUCCUGGUUCUGCAGCAGAGCAACAGUUGUCACUUAAUGGAUCAUUUCGGAGUUGCUACAUCUACUUUUGGAUUCUGCACUAUGUAGAAAUUGCUCUGCCAUUUCCUGGUUGCUGAAAUUCCUGAACAUUCACCUCAUGACUUUUCUCUGCUGCUGCAGAUAUCUGUGUGGGGUCUUUUCCCUCUUGCUCUCCCAGGGGAGGCUUGGAGAGAGUACGGAGGUUCUUGGCUGCCUUCAUGAUGUCAUGAUGGAGAUCCUUGCUGGAGUCGACUGGCUCAGCCUACUGCCGGUUGGAGGGUUUCUCUGGCAACUCGUUGAAAAGCUUGGUACCUCCGGUCUUGUCCCUCUGGUCCACGUACAUCUUAGAGGGGAAGGACGAGGGGUAGUAGGCAUUGAUCUUUCGUUUGCGGCUCAUGAUGCAAGCACAGCAGAGGAUGAGGAAGAUAGUGAUGAAGAGUGUGAAGAAAACUAGGAUGAGGAACAGGUUAUCCUGCAGGAAGUGAACCAUUUGGCUGAGCAAGAAGUGCUCUACGUGGGUGUAGCCAUGUGAGGUGGUUGAGGACUCCGAGGCAGGGCCACUGGUGGCAGGUGGGGAAGGCGUGUCAAUGAGGCUGUCUAGCUCCUCCCCCUCUGCACUUCCCUCCAAUGAAAUGUUGAAAGGGAGGGGUGUGGCUAGACUGGGGCUGCUGGACCACAGCGUCACCAACAGACCAAUCAGAUUAAGUGCCAUGAGGAACGUCAUCUCCUAUAGGACCUGCAGAAAACAAAACAAGAACAUACAGUGUCAGUGUGGCUGUUGUCAAAUUGCAUUUCCACUGUUAUUAAAUUGCACAGAUUUCGAUCGA
Oncorhynchus nerka (sockeye salmon) is the source of this 945-nucleotide long non-coding RNA. RefSeq lists it as uncharacterized. Lineage: Eukaryota; Metazoa; Chordata; Actinopteri; Salmoniformes; Salmonidae. The transcript has 2 exons. The record is from RefSeq and is a predicted model, not a curated record.